CCUACGGGUGGCUGCAGUGGGGAAUAUUGCACAAUGGGGGGAACCCUGAUGCAGCAACGCCGCGUGAAGGAAGACGGUUUUCGGAUUGUAAACUUCUAUCAAUAGGGAAGAAAGAAAUGACGGUACCUAAAUAAGAAGCCCCGGCUAACUACGUGCCAGCAGCCGCGGUAAUACGUAGGGGGCAAGCGUUAUCCGGAUUUACUGGGUGUAAAGGGAGCGUAGACGGUGAUGCAAGUCAGAAGUGAAAGCCCGGGGCUCAACUCCGGGACUGCUUUUGAAACUGUGUGACUGGAGUGCAGGAGAGGUAAGCGGAAUUCCUGGUGUAGCGGUGAAAUGCGUAGAUAUCAGGAGGAACACCAGUGGCGAAGGCGGCUUACUGGACUGUAACUGACGUUGAGGCUCGAAAGCGUGGGGAGCAAACAGGAUUAGAUACCCUUGUAGUC
This 443-nucleotide ribosomal RNA is filed under the name uncultured bacterium. Its description in RNAcentral is "partial 16S ribosomal RNA". It matches the Rfam family "Bacterial small subunit ribosomal RNA", at positions 338 to 795 of the family's 1533-position model. The record is from RNAcentral.